This 253-nucleotide ribosomal RNA is filed under the name uncultured bacterium. RNAcentral's name for it is "partial 16S ribosomal RNA". It matches the Rfam family "Bacterial small subunit ribosomal RNA", at positions 524 to 776 of the family's 1533-position model. The record is from RNAcentral.
GACGAACCGUGCGAACGUUGUUCGGAUUCACUGGGCUUAAAGGGCGCGUAGGCGGCUUGCCAAGUCAGGGGUGAAAUCUUUCGGCUCAACCGGAAAAGUGCUUCUGAUACUGGCAGGCUGGAGGGAGGUAGGGGCAGAUGGAACUUCCGGUGGAGCGGUGAAAUGCGUAGAUAUCGGAAGGAACGCCGGUGGCGAAAGCGAUCUGCUAGACCUCUUCUGACGCUGAUGCGCGAAAGCCAGGGGAGCAAACGGG